GGGGAAUUUUGGACAAUGGGGGAAACCCUGAUCCAGCAAUGCCUCAUGCAGGAUGAAGGCCUUCGGGUUGUAAACUGCUUUUGUACGGAACGAAAAACUCUGGGUUAAUACCCUGGAGUCAUGACGGUACCGUAAGAAUAAGCACCGGCUAACUACGUGCCAGCAGCCGCGGUAAUACGUAGGGUGCGAGCGUUAAUCGGAAUUACUGGGCGUAAAGCGUGCGCAGGCGGUUUUGUAAGACAGUGGUGAAAUCCCCGGGCUCAACCUGGGAACUGCCAUUGUGACUGCAAGGCUGGAGUGCGGCAGAGGGGGAUGGAAUUCCGCGUGUAGCAGUGAAAUGCGUAGAUAUGCGGAGGAACACCGAUGGCGAAGGCAAUCCCCUGGGCCUGCACUGACGCUCAUGCACGAAAGCGUGGGGAGCAAAC
This 425-nucleotide ribosomal RNA is filed under the name uncultured bacterium. RNAcentral's name for it is "bacterial SSU rRNA". It matches the Rfam family "Bacterial small subunit ribosomal RNA", at positions 356 to 773 of the family's 1533-position model. The record is from RNAcentral.